UCCCAGGAGAGCCUACAAAUGCAACGGAAAACAUCUGGCUGGAUAUUGUGAGUGUAGGAGCAAGAACAAACUGUUUUCUAGCAGCUGCAGUUCUCUGCAGGUAUGGGGUUGAGGAUCCAGGGAGGCUGCCUGACCCACAUUGGAAGGAAUGUCUCGAUCCUGGGUUCACUUACAUUAUAAGCAGCGCAAGAAUUCGGCGAAGAAACGAAUGUAGCAGAUAAACAGGCCAGGUGCUGGGGAUGCAAAUGAAAUCGAUGACAGAUGGUGAGUAGCACGCUCACUCACUGUGUGUGUAUAAUGGAUAGAGGUAAUCAAAGUCCUUUGUGAAUUGGUGACUUUCUUUACAUCAAGAACUUUAACACAGGCUUGCUUACACAUCUCUCUACCCUCUGCUCUCAGCCUGCACUUGUGCGCGCAUGCGUGCGCGCGCGCACACACACACACACACACACACACACACACACACACUCCAUCGUUACAUACACAUACAUCCUAAUUAUAGCCUAUGUUACUAUCAGAAAGAUGGGCUAUAACUCUAUUUACAUAACACCACACACAAAUAUCAUUCCACCAAAUCAACCUGUAUACACUAAACAACAGAUUUUUUUUCUGAGAAUACCACGCUAAGGAAACAAAGCAACCUGUUUUGAUGAAAGAAGUUCUAUUCAGUAAGCGAAGUGAUACUUAGACCAAGAGCCUGGGCUUCAGUGGGAAAGAACUGCUUCUGGCUCAUUACAUUGCAUUCCAGCAGAACCUUUAAAACAUCAGUGAGCAUUCCGAUGGGUUUCCUUUUUACUUUCAAAUAAUGGUUAUGAAGUCACAACACUCAAAGAAAAUGCUGGCUUCAAUCAACUUUUAGAUUUAUAGAUUGUGUGCAGAUCUGCCUCCUCUCCAUUCUGGUACCAAGAAGGUUGCUUUAUUUUACUGUGUCUUUCUAAUAAAGACAAAACUCUGCACUGUUAAUUCUAGGACACUCAGUUUUCUAACUUUAUUCUACUUCUUUAGCAUCGUAUUGGCUACACCAGGUUUUUGCCUUUGCCUGUAAUUUUUGUAAGUUUGCUAAUAUCUAUAAUUAGCUUGCUAUAAUUUUUAUUUGGAUCAGGUAUAAUCUACAGAUAAAAUUGGGAAUAAAAGACACUUAAAAAAAUUCUAGGACACAAAUUCAUAUCCCAUGUGGAAUUCAGAAAAUUGUUCUUCUCAGGAUCAUAACGUUAUGAACACACAGCUCACGGAGAAUUACCUUGCAUGUGCUCAAAUCCUAUUUCCAGUCCUAGAUUGUUGUCCUAGCUUUAUUUCCCUCUUUCUGAUGGCUUACUGGACAUUUCUACUUGGAUGUUUAAGUGUCACUUUAACAUAAGAACACCCAAGAUUCCAUGCAAAGUCAUUUUUUUUUUUUUCCAAAAUCAAGUUCACAUGGAAAGUGGUCCAUUCUCCAGACUUAAAAUUCUGGAACUUUUCUCAACUCUUCUCUUCUGUUCAUAUACAGUCGAAAUACAAAACCUAUUGAUUUUUCCUUCUAAAAUGCCCUAACAUUCAUCAUUUCCUCCUGUCCCACCUUUGGGUUCUAAACUGGGCAUUGUAGCUGGACCAUUUCAUCAGCCAGGCCAGCUGCAUGGUUUCUUCCGUCUCUUUCUUCUCCCUCUUUCCCUAGGUCCCUCAAGACUAGCCUUCUCUUCGUGUUGCUUUCAGAGCUCUCUCUUUCCUAACUCACUCAAACCCUGGAUGGCCUUCAAGCUUCUCCAGCCAGACCCAGUUCCCACUGGCUCUCACAGGGCACAGUUUGCUCCACUGGGGCCUGAUUCCUGUGCAUCGCCAUGUUUGUUGUGGGUUAAUCUCCCAUGAUCCAUGCCUUCACCAUGUUCCUUCAACCUUGGGGCCUUUGCACAGACUGUCCCUUUGUCUGGGAUGCCUCCAACCCCUCUCCCUUUCCCUAAACUUAACAAGGCCUGCUUGAAUUCCCUUCCCUGUGAAGAUUUCCUUGACUGCCCUCCCCGAACCUCACACAGUCAGUCAGCAACCCACAAUUUAGUUCGUCAUCCUUUGCUUUUUUUUUUUUUUGAAUUAUUCUCUGGGAGCUUCCCAUGUGAUUGAGGUGGCCCACCUCCACUGGGAGUCCUUCCUUUGAGCAGAACUGCAUGUUGUAUAUAUCUGUGCCCAAGCCCCCUGGCACAUACCCAUGGUGCCUUGAAGCCACUGUACCUGCUUUCUUACUGAACACCUCAAGUAUCCUUGCUCUUCACCAACACUUCAUCAUUCGACUCAGAUCAUCACCCCUUCUCUUUGUGCCCAUGAGGUUUUAUUCUAACCACAGACUCCUCCGACAAAUGCCUGCUGUCUUUGACCGCUCUUCUGACUAGGUGCCCUACCUUAAGAAAGCCUCCCUCUGGCUCCCCUUGGUCCUGGGACCCUACUUUGGAAUCCCUACUCUUUCUCCUUUGAGGAGUCUGCUCAGCUAAUCUACCCCUAUGAGUGUUGAGCAAUAGUAAGUGCCUAAUUAGUGUAUGUUCAUUAAUGCAUCGUUUAUGGGAAAAAUACACUUCUCUCCUGUGUUUUUAGACUACAGAGCCAGCCUGCCAGACCAUUCUAAAGUGCACUUGACUUGCCCUGACUUUAUGUAGAUAUAUGUGCCUACCAGAACACCUCUAUGCACCAGGCCUUAAAUUUGAUUCCAAGAAGUUAAAAUGACAUUUGCAUUGCAGGAUUCUGUGCUUAAGGCCGCAAAAAGCACUGGAGUUGGCCUGGUGGUACUAAUUUUGUGUUGACUCUCCCUCAGGGAAUAGUAUGCUUUUGUACUGUUUCUGAUUUCCUAUUAGAUGGCUUUAAAGGAAGUAUAUUAUAUCCUGAACCUAAAAGGAUCAGCUCUUUAAUAAACCAAAUUGACCUUUCUGCUUUUUUCCCAAGGGGAUUAGGGUCCUCCUCCGUGCCUUGAAGCCCCCUUUCUUCCCUGGAAACAAAUUGAUUUUGUGAAUGUUUUGUUUGGAUUUUUUACAUGACAACCACAUAUACGGUGAAGAGUAAUGACCAAAAGUCAUACUCCUGGGCAACUGGGUAUGGCCAGAUGAGAUGAUAAAUAUAAUUUGUUGAAUUACAGAAGUAGCUCCUGUUCUGCUGGCUGUGUGUUCAGCUUCAACAUCUUGGUAAAGAGAUGAUGUCACAGAGUCACAAAGCAAGUGGCAGACCACCUGUUAAGCACCCGGUCACAAGAUAAAACCAAGAGCCCUGGGUUUAUAAAUGUUUCCCUUUAAGGCUCACAAUUCCUAUUUGAAGUUAUACUAUUUUCAACAAAAUUUUUUUUAUUACCAAAGCUCUAUGUUAAGGAUAAUCCAACAUCAGAAGACAUGAUGUUUCCGUACCUACCUAAGGCACUGGACUUAUCGUGGUGGAAAUGGGCAGUCUCACAACUCAUGGAUGAUUGGAACAUUAAUAAUUCUUUAGCACGAUGGAACAAUAUUAAUACUCUAAAUGAAAGAUGCAUCAGUACACAUGGCUUUUAUGAGCCCAUGUGAGAGUAACAGAUAUAUUGGGAAACAGAAGUGUGAUUUGAUUGUUCUGACUCUAGAUCAUCUUUUUCACAACUCAAAACCGAGAUUUUGAUUCAUUGCAAUUGUAAUGCUCAGUAUUACCACCUCAAGCUCUUGCUGCAAAUUAAAUUUACUUAUAUCCCUUAAAUAUCCUCCCUCUCCAACAAUUUUGGCCUUUCUUUUGCACAGGAGAAAUUCUGCGACUGAGUUCCAAAAUCUCUCCUUCCUAAUGCAUCUGUAAACAGCUGCAGCUCCCUGUUCAAUAUUGGCUGCAGCUGCCAUAAUGCCCCAGAAGGACAACCAAAUGGAGAGAGCUCCCCUUAAUUGCCUUGCCACCCCUGACUGAAUUUAUGUUUUGUUUUUAAGUAACAUUUUGUUGCAUUUGCAUUACUGAAAUUACCAGGUUACAGUAAACUAUAUUCCCAAAUCAAUGUCCCCCCAAAGAAAGCAGACGUGAACUUUAUCACCAACAACAAAUUCAAUUUUCACAUUACCUACUGACAAAGAGGCUUGUGCCAACAACACUUGCGGAUUCCUGAAAAGUCCGCCAAACCAGAGGAAAUCCACAAAUCUCCGAUUUUAAUGUCUCAUAGUUUUGCUAUUUAACCAUUGCUUUUCACCUCUCGGUAAAAAUUAAUCUUUACACUGUUUUGUUUCUGUUUCAAAAUCAGAUAGGGUGACACAUAAAGAUAUUCCCAAAUGGAUCCCUCAUGCAUUGCUGGUGGGAAUGUGCAGGCUCUAUGGAAAACGGUUUGGCAGUUCCUCAAAGAGUUAAACAUAAAAUUAUCAUAUAAUCCAUCAAUUCCACUCCUAGGUACAUACCCAAAAGAACUGUAAACAGGGACUCAGGUACUUGUACACCAAAGCUUAUGGCAGCAUUAUUUGAAAUAGAUUAAAGGUGGAAACAACCUAAAUGGCUAUCAACAGAUCAAUGAAUAAAUGCAAUAUGGUUUAUACAAAUAAUGGAAUAUUACUCAGCCAUAAAAAGGAAUGAAAUUAUAGUACAUGCUACAACAUAGAUGAACCUUGAAAGUACUCUACUAGGUAAAAUAAACUAGGUACAAGAUGACAAAUAUAUGAUCCCACUAAUAUGAAGUAUCUAGAAUAAACAAAUUCAUAGAGAUAGAAUGUUGAAUAGUAGUUAUCAGAGGCUGGAGAGAGGGGGAAUGGGAAUUAUUGGUUAACGGGCACAGAGUUUCUGUUUGGGAUGAUGAAAAAGUUCUAGAAAUCGAUGGUAAUAAUGGCUACAGUACUCAGUGGCAUUGAAGCUUUAUACACUUUAAAUUAGUAACUGUUAUAUGUAUUUUACCACAAUAAAAAUGUUAUUUCCAAACCA
This is a non-coding RNA of Sus scrofa (pig), 4857 nucleotides long. NCBI's taxonomy places the organism in Eukaryota, Metazoa, Chordata, Mammalia, Artiodactyla, Suidae. The record is from RefSeq and is a predicted model, not a curated record.